CGACCCUCGAGGUGGCGUAGCUAACGCGUUAAAUGAACCGCCUGGGAGGUACGGCCGCAAGGCUAAAACUCAAAGGAAUAGACGGGGACUCGCACAAGCGGUGGAGCAUGAGGUUUAAUUCGACAAUAAACGAAGAACCUUACCAGGGCUUGAAAUCCUAUCGAAGACUUUCCGAAAGGAUUGUCGUCUCUCAAGGACGAUAGGACAGGUGCUGCAUGGUUGUCGUCAGCUCGUGUUUUGAAAUGUUCCCUUAAGUGGGGUAACGAGCGCAACCCCCAUCUGAUGUUACUUUUUCAUCAGAGACCGCCCCCGCUUUUGCUCGUCAGAGCAAAAGCGGAAACUCUAAACUCCAAAUUCUAAAUUCCAAACAAACCCCAAAUUUAAAAUUCAAAUGUUCAAAACGUUUUGAGUUUUUGAUUUUAGUUAUUUGAUAUUGUUUAGUAUUUGGGAUUUAUGAUUUUCCGCUUUUGAGCUGGUGCUCAAAAGCGGGGGAGGAAGGCGGGGAUGACGUCAAAUCCGCAUGGCCCUUUGAUGCCCUGGGCUACACUCGUGCUACAAUGGUUGGUACAAUGGGUUUGCCAAGUCGUAAGGCGGAGCUAAUCCCAUCAAAACUAACCUCAGUUCAGAUUGAGGGCUGCAACUCGCCCUCAUGAAGUUGGAAUCGCUAGUAAUCGCGGGUCAGCUAUACCGCGGUGAAUACGUUCUCGAGUCCUGUACUCACAAAUAAAUGCGCCUGGCAGCGCAGUAAUCUACAUGGUUUAAAUCCAUG
Molecule: ribosomal RNA, 769 nt
Filed under: bacterium
Lineage: Bacteria
Description: bacterial SSU rRNA
Rfam family: Bacterial small subunit ribosomal RNA
Source: RNAcentral